AAUUCUGCCCCGUUCUUCUCCUCCUCUCCCUCGUGCCCCCAUCCCUGCCGCCGCGCGCCUCCCCUCCUCCCCUUCACGGCCGCCACAGCAGCAGCAGCCGGAGGUCGAUGGCGCCUCGUUCCUUCUCCUCUCCCCUUGCGCCCCCAUCCCGGCCACCACCUCGUGCGCAUCUCCUCCUCCCCAUCGCGUCCGUCUUAGCAGAUGCUGCUGGAGGUCGCCCUAGAGGAACUACACGACUACAGCCGCCACAUCGAGCCGCCGUGAUCUCCUCAUCUAGCCACUACCCGGCAAGGCCUCGUUCCUGUGAUCAUUUUGAGUGGUCAUUCACUAAAUUUGGUUCAGCGGUUGAGCUGCAGUGACGAAAACAAGUUGCUGGCCUGGCAGUGCCUCUCCCUCCAUCAUGACCCCUUGUAUUGUAUGGGGAUAGAAGGAUGGCAUUGACGAAGCAGUUCAUACCGCCGCCGCCAAACCAGGGAGUGAAACCUAUGACCCAGGAUUUGUUGAGAUGGAUGAGGUGGCGGAGCGAAGGAGGUUUGUUGCGGACUCACCGCGCGCUUGCUGUUGCAGAAAGCACAAGAGUGCGAGGUUUCGGAAGUGACUGAUGUUGCAGCCACAGGUAUUGCAGUGAUCAACAGCUGGGCAUCUCACCACAUCCAGAUAACAACCUCCACGACGUUGUAAGGAUGGAAAAAGUUGCAGAACAGGGGUGACCCAGCUUUCUCUUGACAUAAUUGUGAGGCAAGCAUCUUUCCAUGAUGACAACGGCCAAAUUAUAUGGAAGAGGGCCAGCAAUAUCUUUGAGAGAAGCAAGCGCCGUUUAGAACACUACUUUACAUUGUAGGCUGAUAGGUUUUACAGCCAGCUUUAGAUCGGUCAGAUUGUACAAAGGAUGAGGCAUGGCAAUACUUUUCUUACAUCUUAAUUCAUCCUACUAUCGAUUACAUAGGACAAAAUUGAGCCAUGAAGGUCUUGCUCCCACUCAUUUCUCAUGUUGAUAUUCAGGUCACAACAUUGCGAAAUAGGAGCCAUCCGUGGAUCAAAGUAGGACGGUGUCACAUCGACGGGCAUGGGAUGUCUGAUCUGUUUUGAUCCUGAUGGUCUGAUGCAGAACUUUGGGAGGAGCGGGCUGUCGCCAUCGUAUGGAGGAGCGCCAGCCACUACUCCGUCGGAAGGAGCUACCGACACCACAACCAGGCAUUUUUCCUCCCCUCAGCAAGGUUGUGGUACCCUUGGUUACAAGAUCAAGUGAAAGCUUGUGAAAGAUCGUGUGAUACUACCCUCAUCAUGGGUCUCAAUAGACUGUCAAAUUAUUGUCCAGUAUUUCCUCAAUGAAAAUGUAAGUGCCACAUUCCUAAAUGACACCGCUCUCUCUACAAUCUCAAGUUGUGCAUCCAAGAGUUUGUCUCUCGGCAGUCUAGGAAAUGGUUAAUGCCGACUCUAAAAUUGGGAAGCCUGAUGCCCCGAUGGUGCUGCUGAUAUGGCCAAAUGAAAUUCUAACAGCUGAUUUUGCCACACAAGAUGUUGUGGAUUAUAAGCGUUUAUGGUUGGGAACAUUAAGAUUAUUCCCUAGAAGAGAAAGCAGUUUAUAGGUUGUUGAUUAUACGGUCAACACCAAGUAGUAAGACAUGUGGUAUUAAUGCACCAUGUAGUAAGACAUGUGAUAUUAAUGCUAAUUUACAUAGUGUUGCACCUAUCAA
This is a long non-coding RNA of Lolium perenne, 1697 nucleotides long. RefSeq lists it as uncharacterized. The record is from RefSeq and is a predicted model, not a curated record. NCBI's taxonomy places the organism in Eukaryota, Viridiplantae, Streptophyta, Magnoliopsida, Poales, Poaceae.